CCUACGGGUGGCAGCAGUGAGGAAUAUUGGUCAAUGGACGAGAGUCUGAACCAGCCAAGUAGCGUGAAGGAUGACUGCCCUAUGGGUUGUAAACUUCUUUUAUAUGGGAAUAAAAUGUUCCACGUGUGGGAUUUUGUAUGUACCAUAUGAAUAAGGAUCGGCUAACUCCGUGCCAGCAGCCGCGGUAAUACGGAGGAUCCGGGCGUUAUCCGGGUUUAUUGGGUUUAAAGGGAGCGUAGGUGGAUUGUUAAGCCAGUUGUGAAAGUUUGCGGCUCAACCGUAAAAUUGCAGUUGAAACUGGCAGUCUUGAGUACAGUAGAGGUGGGCGGAAUUCGUGGUGUAGCGGUGAAAUGCUUAGAUAUCACGAAGAACUCCGAUGGCGAAGGCAGUUCACUGGACUGCAACUGACACUGAGGCUCGAAAGUGUGGGUAUCAAACAGGAUUAGAUACCCCAGUAGUC
Molecule: ribosomal RNA, 460 nt
Filed under: uncultured bacterium
Lineage: Bacteria
Description: partial 16S ribosomal RNA
Rfam family: Bacterial small subunit ribosomal RNA
Source: RNAcentral